ACGUCGACACCUACGGGAGGCAGCAGUGGGGAAUAUUGCACAAUGGGGGAAACCCUGAUGCAGCGACGCCGCGUGAGUGAAGAAGUAAUUCGUUAUGUAAAGCUCUAUCAGCAGGGAAGAAAGUGACGGUACCUGAGUAAGAAGCCCCGGCUAACUACGUGCUAGCAGCCGCGGUAAUCUGAGCGGGCUGGCAAGGC
This 197-nucleotide ribosomal RNA is filed under the name uncultured bacterium. RNAcentral describes it as "partial 16S ribosomal RNA". It matches the Rfam family "Bacterial small subunit ribosomal RNA", at positions 329 to 539 of the family's 1533-position model. The record is from RNAcentral.